This 404-nucleotide ribosomal RNA is filed under the name Pseudomonas sp. RNAcentral describes it as "partial 16S ribosomal RNA". It matches the Rfam family "Bacterial small subunit ribosomal RNA", at positions 355 to 776 of the family's 1533-position model. RNAcentral also lists the same sequence under 4 other names. Lineage: Bacteria; Pseudomonadati; Pseudomonadota; Gammaproteobacteria; Pseudomonadales; Pseudomonadaceae. The record is from RNAcentral.
UGGGGAAUAUUGGACAAUGGGCGCAAGCCUGAUCCAGCCAUGCCGCGUGAGUGAUGAAGGCCCUAGGGUUGUAAAGCUCUUUCACCGGUGAAGAUAAUGACGGUAACCGGAGAAGAAGCCCCGGCUAACUUCGUGCCAGCAGCCGCGGUAAUACGAAGGGGGCUAGCGUUGUUCGGAUUUACUGGGCGUAAAGCGCACGUAGGCGGACUUUUAAGUCAGGGGUGAAAUCCCGGGGCUCAACCCCGGAACUGCCUUUGAUACUGGAAGUCUUGAGUAUGGUAGAGGUGAGUGGAAUUCCGAGUGUAGAGGUGAAAUCCGUAGAUAUUCGGAGGAACACCAGUGGCGAAGGCGGCUCACUGGACCAUUACUGACGCUGAGGUGCGAAAGCGUGGGGAGCAAACAGG